RNAcentral lists this non-coding RNA (59 nucleotides) under Klebsiella pneumoniae. The record is from RNAcentral. Lineage: Bacteria; Pseudomonadati; Pseudomonadota; Gammaproteobacteria; Enterobacterales; Enterobacteriaceae.
CAGUUCUGAAUGUCUGUUUACCCCUAUUUCAACCGGAUGCCUCGCAUCCGGUUUUUUUU